RNAcentral lists this ribosomal RNA (949 nucleotides) under Bacillus licheniformis. Its description in RNAcentral is "bacterial SSU rRNA". It matches the Rfam family "Bacterial small subunit ribosomal RNA", at positions 8 to 929 of the family's 1533-position model. The record is from RNAcentral. Lineage: Bacteria; Bacillati; Bacillota; Bacilli; Caryophanales; Bacillaceae.
AGAGUUUGAUCAUGGCUCAGGACGAACGCUGGCGGCGUGCCUAAUACAUGCAAGUCGAGCGGACCGACGGGAGCUUGCUCCCUUAGGUCAGCGGCGGACGGGUGAGUAACACGUGGGUAACCUGCCUGUAAGACUGGGAUAACUCCGGGAAACCGGGGCUAAUACCGGAUGCUUGAUUGAACCGCAUGGUUCCAAUCAUAAAAGGUGGCUUUUAGCUACCACUUACAGAUGGACCCGCGGCGCAUUAGCUAGUUGGUGAGGUAACGGCUCACCAAGGCGACGAUGCGUAGCCUUGACCUGAGAGGGUGAUCGGCCACACAUGGGACUGAGACACGGCCCAGACUCCUACGGGAGGCAGCAGUAGGGAAUCUUCCCGCAAUGGACGAAAGUCUGACGGAGCAACGCCGCGUGAGUGAUGAAGGUUUUCGGAUCGUAAAACUCUGUUGUUAGGGAAGAACAAGUACCGUUCGAAUAGGGCGGUACCUUGACGGUACCUAACCAGAAAGCCACGGCUAACUACGUGCCAGCAGCCGCGGUAAUACGUAGGUGGCAAGCGUUGUCCGGAAUUAUUGGGCGUAAAGCGCGCGCAGGCGGUUUCUUAAGUCUGAUGUGAAAGCCCCCGGCUCAACCGGGGAGGGUCAUUGGAAACUGGGGGAACUUGGAGUGCCAGAAGAGGAGAGUGGAAUUCCACGUGUAGCGGUGAAAUGCGUAGAGAUGUGGAGGAACACCAGUGGCGAAGGCGACUCUCUGGUCUGUAACUGACGCUGAGGCGCGAAAGCGUGGGGAGCGAACAGGAUUAGAUACCCUGGUAGUCCACGCCGUAAACGAUGAGUGCUAAGUGUUAGAGGGUUUCCGCCCUUUAGUGCUGCAGCAAACGCAUUAAGCACUCCGCCUGGGGAGUACGGUCGCAAGACUGAAACUCAAAGGAAUUGACGGGGGCCCGCACAAG